Long non-coding RNA from Astatotilapia calliptera (eastern happy), 2674 nucleotides. The record is from Ensembl. NCBI's taxonomy places the organism in Eukaryota, Metazoa, Chordata, Actinopteri, Cichliformes, Cichlidae.
UGUGACAACUACGUCAGUAACACCAACUCAGGCCAUACAACAUAUAGCACAAUCAACCAUGACAGAAAACACUUCACUGGAAACAUUUCAGAGUACACCCGAGGGAACAACAAAUGGGACUCCUUCCCAAAGUAAAGGAACUGUUGCUAACAAAAAUGUAAACAGCUCUGUCACACCCUCACCCUCAUUCAGCCCUUUACCAUCUACAGUAAUGGUUCCAAAAUCCACUGCUGUAAUAGAGUCGAGUUCGCCUUCAUUAUUUUCUACAGAGCAAUCAUCACCAAACACUGCCCAAGCCAACACAACAGGGCCCCAAGUUAACUCUACAUCUUUCCCCCCAUCUACGGCCAACACAAUAUUUUUUAAGUAUACACCCAAGAUUGCCACUCUGACCCCUCUUAUCUUUGAUUAUCCAAUUGUGAACCGCAUCAGCUUUCCUGCUUCCAAUGAUUCAAACCCAGAAGAACAAUUGCAGAACAACACAAAUCAGACACACACACACACACCACCACCAUCAACUUUGCUAAAUUACUAAUGAAAAACAUUGACCAGGCACCUGUGAUUGAGCAGCAAUGUCCAUCCAACUCUUUUCAUGGUUGUUGUAGUCGAGAUAAUUUUGUGAGGCCACAUUGAAAAGCCUUGGAUACGGAAGCGUAGAGCUGCCACCCAGGCAAAAGAAAAGCAGAGCUAUAUCACGUUAUAACAUGAAAAGUAUAUUGUUCUAACAAUAUACCUUUCGCGUUUGAACAAUAUAUUAUCACGUUCGUACAAUAUAAAUAUUAUAUUGUACAAACAUGAAAAGUAUAUUGUUGGGGGUUAGGAAAGCCAGAAGCAGGGAAGCUGGAGAGGUACCUUUCAUGUCCAUUCACUGGAGGUGUGGAUCUAUUGCAUGGCUUUCCUCACAUCAAGAAGCUGUCCAUCAAAAUCAAUACAGCUCUUCCUGCAUCUGGAGCUUGUGAAGGACUUCUCAGUGAUGCAGGACUCCUGUUCACUGCUAAACAGUUACAGCUUCACAGAAAGAACCUUGAGAGCAAACUGCUGCUGAAGCUUAACCAUCACCUCAUUGAGUGAAGAAAUGGCACACCCAUACAACUUAUGGCAGGCAGCACCUGAUUGAUAGUCACCUGAUGGCCCCCUUGGAGAGCAAUAACACAGAAAAAAAUGCGUCAGAGACUGUAGCAAAAUGUGUUGUAUCAAGUGAUGUAAAAGAAGAAAAAAAAAUACUUUGCCUUCAGCUUGUCUUGAUCCCAAAUGUCUGACAGUGAAAGACCUGGUUUUGCAAGCUGCGUGUUAUUUUCAUUAGCUCACCUGCCCAUUGAUGUGAAGCACAAUGUUACAUAGAUUAGAUAGGCUGUAGCUCUGAAAUAAAUGGUGUACAGCAAGAAGUAACCUGAGUUUCAUUUAUGCUCUGAAUUGUUGUAACAAUGAUUGUAAAAGUGAGCCAAGCACUGACAUGUUCGUGGUGGUUGUGGUGUUUAAGUAAGGUACACUGCACUCCUCUCUUUGUUUGAAUUCAAGAUUCCAGGUGUGUUAACGAACAUAAUGAAAAAAGAACGAAAAAGAAUACACAUAUGUACAAAUUGUAUAUAAUUUGUGCUUUUUAGUAUGCCAAGCUGUUUUUAAGCUCUUUUCUGUGUAUAAAUGCUCAACAGUCUUUAAUCAUAAUUAAGUUUAACGCAUAAUUAGGUGCACCAAAGCAAAAGCACUGGAGCACAGUAGUUGCUAUUUUUCAAAUUUAUCAUUAUUUAAAUUCUCAUUGUUAUGUAUUAUUAGUCACCAAAAUUCUCUCCCAGGCUCAGGCAGCAGGGCUUUGGUGUUUGUCCCUCUUUUCAUUCGGAACAUUCAAAAAAUAGCUUUGAAGUUAAUGAGCACACUCGAUUUUCAUCAUAUCAGCAACACCUGCACAACAUUACAGAAUUGCUAGAUUAUACAAAAGCUAUUCAAGUUUAAAUGGUUUUCAGGGAUCGCAACAAGUGUGACAGUUUCAGAAUUAACCCUGUCAUGCAUAAAUUAUUACAACCUCAAUCAGGAUUUUUUCUCAAGUAUUUUUAUUCAUCUUUUGGCAUAAAAAAGGAUUUUGGAUCUUCAUUUUUUAUCAAGGAGUUUUUUACAUGUCCACUUAAGUGGACAACACUGACUGACCAGUGGGUGGCAGGGUGACAUGAGUGACACAUCAGUGUCCAAUGUGGUAGCUUAUGUGCUAGUAUACCAUCAACACUGUCACAAAUACAAGAAAACAACCUUUUAAUAUCUGUCCACUAAAGUAACCACUAUGCGUGAAAGGGUUAAAGCCCAUACAUCACAUAUAUAACAUGUGUCCAGCUGCCUCUGUCACACAGAGAGACCUGGUGAUUAGCACAGUCUGGACAUUACAGUAACAAUUUAAUCAAAGUGUGCUAAAUCUGAAUGAUAACAGUUUUUCUAUAUCUAAUUAACUAUCCUGUGGCCACCAUUUGUUUUGAUUUAUGACUGCCUGUAAAUAUUUUGGACUAUCAAAAUAAAAUCUUUGAUAUAAUAAAGACCGUUUAAAAUCUGUUUCUUUCUUCCUUUUGGGAUAGCUUUUGUUUCAAACUGCUUACAUUUUUCUCCCAGUUUUUCUUGCAAAGUUUGAAUAGCCAUUUUUUAUCUUCUGAUGGCUCUCAAUAGAGCCUGCUAGCUCAUAUUGACAGAUGAC